CCUACGGGGGGCAGCAGUGGGGAAUAUUGGGCAAUGGAGGAAACUCUGACCCAGCAACGCCGCGUGAAUGAUGAAGGUCUUCGGAUUGUAAAGUUCUUUUCUAAGGGAAGAAGAAAGUGACGCUACCUUAGGAAUAACCCUCGGCCAACGACGGGCCAGCAGCCGUGGUAAGACGUAGGCGGCAAGCGUUAUCCGGAAUGACUGGGCGUAAUGGGUGCGUAGGUGGUGUGACAAGUUGGUAGCGAAACUCCGGGGCUCAACCCCGGCACUACUACCAAAACUGCCGGGCUUGAGUGCAGGAGAGGCAAGUGGAAUUCCUAGUGUAGCGGUGAAAUGCGUAGAUAUUAGGAGGAACACCAGUGGCGAAGGCGAUUUACUGGACUGUAACUGACGCUGAGGCACGAAAGCGUGGGGAGCAAACAGGAUUAGAUACCCCAGUAGUC
Molecule: ribosomal RNA, 443 nt
Filed under: uncultured bacterium
Lineage: Bacteria
Description: partial 16S ribosomal RNA
Rfam family: Bacterial small subunit ribosomal RNA
Source: RNAcentral